Long non-coding RNA from Cicer arietinum (chickpea), 1149 nucleotides. RefSeq lists it as uncharacterized. The record is from RefSeq and is a predicted model, not a curated record. NCBI's taxonomy places the organism in Eukaryota, Viridiplantae, Streptophyta, Magnoliopsida, Fabales, Fabaceae.
UGUAUUCACCAAUGAAAUUGAUGGAUGCAUAUUGUGUUACUUAUGCAUAUACAAUUAUGUUCUGAAGACUGAAAAAUUUACAUAAAAAUGGGUUAUCAUUGUUAUAUCCAUUGAAAUUUUGAUGCCUUCCAUGAAGAAUUACAUGGACCAAUGAAAACUAGAUCAAACUCUGAGCUGUCUCCUAAUAGAUAAAGUAAUAUUUUGUUGAACUGUGUAAUAAUGAUUCAUUUAAUAGUGAAAAUAAAGAAAAAUUGCAGCUUAUUCAUCCUAGCAGAAGAUUGAUGUGCAUUUUCUCCCUUAGAUUAUGAUAGGCUGGCAUGUGGACUGAAUUUCAUCUGCAUAUGCAGUUUAUUAGUGAUCUCAGAAUUUAGAAAUAAUCAUAUUGUCAUAAUUGUAGAGUCACUAUGUUGCUAAAUGGGCAUUGUAGACGGAAAGCCCUAUGAAUUUGAUGUAGGCCAGUCUGUGAGAGGAAAUGUCCUAAAAGGUUUGGAUUUAGGAGUCGAGGGCAUGCGUGUAGAAGGCCAGGUGAGAAGUGAUUUCUAUGAGCAAGAAGAUCUCUGUGUUUUGUUACAAAUUUCAUUGAAGUCAUGACAAUAGGUAAAUGGAAGCUACAAAUGAUACUAAUGAACAACCACAUGGAAUUAAAAUUGAUCUUACUCAAGAUUUUGAUUUGUUUUACUCCAUCUUUGUCUAGUAAAUUGUUGUAUAAAUGUAUAGUUACUCAAGCAUUUUAGCACACUAGUAGCAUUUGUGCCAAUAUUUUUGCAUAAAUGGGUAAAAAUUGUUUAGAUUUUGAAUUGGAUACUUGGAUCAUAUGUUGUAAGCAGUAAUUUAGUUCAGUUUUUUUGCAGCGGCUGUUAAUUGUACCUCCUGAAUUUUUUUUUAUAUAAAACAAGUUUAGAUAAGUUGUAUCUCGGAGACUGUGAGGGAAAAGGAAUGCCUCAAGAUAGAGAGAGUAUUUAGUGGGGUACUUAUAUAUUAUACACCAAUGAAGUCCUCAUAUCGAUUAGUUUAUGUAAUUUGGUACUAAAGCUACCAUUUUAGCUCUAUGUCACAAAACCCAUACUAUAUUCUUAUGUAUCUAUACAACUUUUGAGUUCCAUUAACACCACCACCACAACUCUAAUUGAUCAAAUUCCUUAGGCUUAA